ACCAGCAACUUUGAUCACUUUCCACCUCCUCUUUCAUUUCAUUUUAUUCCUUUUCUUUUUACCUCUCUUUAUUCCCUUAUUCCCCUCCCUCUAUAUUACUUCCCUUCAUCUUCCUCUCCUUUUCCCACCACCCUUAAAAUUAAUGGGAUUUUCAGAGAACUUCCAAGAUGAUAUGGCCUUCGAAUUCGACUCCAAAAAAUGGGUCAUCACUGGAAUUCAAUUCCGACCUCCUCUAAUGCUCAUUAAUACUACAAAUCCCAUUAAUCACUCCGACGCCGAAGACCAACCGCCAACGCCGACCGGAGACGGCUGUCGGAUUCGGUCCGAUUCGAAAUGCCCCCCCGCCCCGAAGAAACCUAAAUCUUCACUGAAAUUCAACCACGGCGAUGUGAGGCAAUUCUUCAAGCCUCCGGAUUUAGAGGUGCUCUGAAGAAGAGAUACAAGAUGUGUGGUAGGUGGAAUGAAAAGCUCUGAAUGAGCCACGCCUCUCAGCCAGACAGUCGAAACGUGGUGAAAACCACUUACAUUGAUCAAAAGGGAAAAUGAUGUGAGCAUAUGGAAACGUCUUCAGAUUUGCAGGUAAUGAAGAAGAUUUUCAAGCAUGCAAAUGGAGAAAGUGAAAGAGGAAGACGAGCUCUACAAAGUGAUGUACAUGGUUUGGCCAAUGAAGCCUACAUCCACAGUAAGGAAGAAGUUUCUAUUAUUGAAGGCAUAUAAGAGCCAAUUUCUUUUUCUUUACAGAUUUUGUACAUGUAAAAAUGAAAAAACUCUUAGUUGUUUGAAUGUACACACAUAUUUACAGGUUUGUAUGACUGCUACAAAUGAGUUGUAAAGUCUGUUUAGAAGAAAAAAACUAGUCGUUGAGAUUAACUUUCUUCAAAUCUCCACCUUUUAGCCUUCUUCCUUCCAAAUCUGAUGAUGUUUAACCUUUUUCAAGUAACUAGAAGCUGACCUGUUUGAAACAUUGGGCUAACUUGAGCUUCGUGUUAGGUUUGGUAAGCAUGUCAAUUGCAUUCCCGAGGUAUGGACUUUCAGAACCUCAAUUUCUCCUUGUUCUAUUAUGUCUCUUAUGAAAUGAAACUUGAUAUCUAUGUAUUUUGUUUUUGAGUGGUAUUGUGGAAUUUUGGAAAGAUGGAUAGCACUUUAGUUAUCACAGUAGAUUUUAACUAUUGUUUGUUUGAUGCCAAAGUCUUCCAUCAAGCACUUUAACCACAAUGCUUCCUGAUAGUGCCAUAUAUUCUACCUCAGUAGUUGAUAAAGUUGUGAUAAACUGUAGAUUUGCCUCCAGCUUAGUAGAUUUGGUCCAUAUAAGAAGAGAUAACCUGUAAGAAAUCUUCUUUUGUCUUGAUCCCUUACGAAAUUUGAAUCAACAAACCCAUAUAGCUCAAGUUUUGUCUUCUGUAUACUUUGAUAGAUUAGCUUGGAUUGUUUAGACCAGAUUUGAUACCUAAGUAUCUAUUUAGUAGCUUCCGAGUGUCUUCUUCCAGAGUUAGACAUGUAUCUACUAACUAGGCUUGCACAGUAGGAAAGAUCUGACUUAGUAGAGAUCAUAAGAUACAUCAAACUACCUACUGCCUGACUAUAGGGAACCAUUUGCAUUUGAUUUAAGUGUUCCAAGUUAGUUUCCUUAUGUGAAUUAGUUGAGGAUAGUUUAAAAUGAUGAGUAAUAGGUAUAGUUACUGGUUUAGCAUUGGUCAUAUUGAAUCUUCUAAUGAUCUCCUCACAGUAGUUGGUUUGACUAAUGUUCAGUGUAGAGGAACCCCUAUCUCUGUUAAUCUCAAUCCCAAGGAUCUUCUUAGACUGACCUAUAUCCUUCAUGUCAAACUCUCCCUUUAUGAGAUCUUUGACAUGCCUUAGAUCUUCUUUAGAACUCCCAGCUAGCAAUAUAUCAUCCACAUAGAGAAGUAAGUAUACCUUAUUCUUAUAAGUGGUUUAGUUUACAUAGGUACAUAUGUCAUAGGAGCUCUUUUGAAAUCCAAUACUCUCAAUAUAGUCAUUAAAUCUCCUGUACUAGCAUCUAGGAGACUAUUUAAGUCCAUAGAUGGACUUAUUUAGAAGACGGUAGAGAUCCUCUUUUCCCUUUUCUUCAAAAUCCUUAGGUUGCACCAUGUAAAUAAUCUCAUAUAGAUGACCAUGUAUGAAAGAUGUCUUUACAUCUAGCUGAUUUAAUUCAAGGUUAUACUGAGCAACUAGAGACAAUAAGAGUCUGAUAGAAAUCUGUUUUACUACUGGUGAAAAGAUCUCAUAAUAAUCUAUGCCUUCUCUCUGAGUGAAUCUCUUAGCCACUAGUCUUGCCUUAUAUUUAGGUUUUUAUUCUUUAGAAGUACCCUCCUUUGGUUUAUAGAUCAAUUCAGAUGCUAUUGGUUUGUAUCCUUUAGGAAGAGAAGCUAGGGUUCAAGUGUUAUUCACACAUAGUUUCAAUCCAGUUCCUUGCAUCAAGGCAGCUUACUACCUCUUCAAAAGUAGCUGGUUCUUGGUUAUUUGGAGCUAUUGUAACAUUUAAAACUAGGUUCAUAUAACUUGUUUCAGUAUACCUAGCUAGAGGAACAAUCACCCUUCUUUGUUUGUCCUUUGCUAAUGAGUAUUGACUCAAAUUAGGUUGAGCUUCAGUGUGUUGUUGUAGCUCACCUGUGGUUUUCUCUUCCUCUUUUGAAUCAUUUGGAGGAUUUUGACUAAUAGACCUAUCUUUAGGUGCCUCCACCUUAAUUCUAGUAGUAGGAUUCUUAGGUAUCUCAAUUGUAGUCUUCUUUUUUUGCAUAAAUAUUUCAUUUUCUCUAAAAGUGACAUCCCUGCAGACCACAGAUCUUUUCUCAACAUAAUUCCACAUCUUGAAGCCCUUUACACCAUCUGUGAACCCUACAAACAUACAUUUUACAGCCUAAGUUUUCCCUAAUUUUGAUGUAUGUAUCCAACACAUCCAAAUAUCCUUAGGUUGUUUAGCUUAGGAGGAUUUUUGGAUCAUUUUUCUUUAAGGGUUAAGAAGUUUAAGGAUAUAUGUGGACACCUAUUUAAGGUGUACACAGUGUAGCUUGCAACUUCAGCCCAGUACUUUUCACUAAGGAUGGCAUCUAAAAGUAAGCAUUUGACCCUUUCCAUAAUAGUUCUAUUAAGUCUCUCUGCCACCCCAUUCUGUUGGGAUGUAUAUCUGACUGCUCUGUGCCUGGUAAUGUCUGUUUCUUUACAAAAUUUGUUAAAUUCUUCACUACAAAAUUCCAGCCCAUUAUUUGUCCUUAGGUACUCAAUUUCCUUAGAUGUUUUCUUCUCAAUCACGAGUUUCCAUUCCUUAAACUUCUCAAAUACUUGGUCUUUUGAUUUAAGAAAGAAAACCAAAUUUUCCUUGAGAAGUCAUCAAUAAAAGAAAGUAAAUACCUUGAGCCACUUAGGCUAGGUGUUGGAGCUGGUCCCCAUAGGUCUGAGUGAAUGUAGCCACGAAUAGCUUUUAUUGAAUGUUGUGCCUUGGUAAAACUAUGUCUGGUUGCUUUUCCCAAAACAAAUGUUCACAAAAGGUCAGUUUGUUUAAAAUUCCUUUGGAUAGGAUGCCCUGUUUAGAUAGCACUUCCAGCCAUUUAGCACUAAUAUGAGACAACCUCUUGUGCCAUAUAUCAGCUUCUGUUAGAUCAUUAGUAGUGGCAACAUAUGCCCUUGUCAUCAUUUCUACUCCUCUGACCACAAACAAGUCAUUAACCUUCUCCCCAACAAGAACCACCUUGGAAUCUUUUAGAACUUCAAGAGUUCCACACUUACCCCUGUACUCACACCCUACAACAUCAAACAUUCGUAAGGAGAUUAAAUCCUUCUUAAGGAAUGGUACAUGCCUAACAUUUCUGAGGAGUUUCACUGUCCCAUCCUUGAGUUUCAUUGAGACAUAACCAAUUCCUUCAAUUUUGCAAACUUGGUUGUUUCCCAUGUAAACCAUUUCUCCAUCAACUUCUUUGUAGGUGUUAAACCAAGGUCUCAUUGGUGUCAUGUGAUAGGUGCAUCUAGAAUCCAAGACCCAAUCAUAUUUCCCUAGGGGAUUUAUAUUAUUGGCCUUGUCAAGUGUUGAGGCUAGUGCAUCAGAGUAAAUAAAGGAACCUUCUACAACAGAAGCUUUAGGCUGCUUACCUUUAGUUUCUUUUUCUUUCUCUUGAUUUUUCCUAUUGAGAAUGAAAAGUCUUUAAUCAAAUAGCCUUUCUUUUUUAAAUAUUCGCAUUUAACUUUCUAUUUUGGUUUAUUUUCAUCUGAAUGCUGUUGUUUUCUAUCAUUCUGCUAAUUUGAUUUGAAAUUUCCCUUCACAAACAAUCCUUCACCACUUGGUUGUUCCUUUUUAAUUGUCUGUAGCUCAAAUUCUUUUGUUCUUAGGGAAGAGAUGAUUGCAUCAGUAGUUAUAUUGUCCCUUCCAUACUUCAAUACAUUUUUAAUUUCCCUAUAGGAUUCUGAUAAGGAGUUUAGAAACACAUAUGCCUCAUUUUCAUCUCCAAUUUCCUCCCCUAGAUUCUUAAAUUCAGCAACAAUUCUUUUGAAUUCAUCAAAAUUAUCUGAAAGGGAUUUUAAUGAAUCCAUUUUAAUAGUGAAAAACCUCUCUUUAAGGUACAUUUUAUUAGGAAGAUCUUUAGUAGUAUACAAGUCUUCCAAUUUUGUCCAAAUCCUAUAGGCUUUCUCUUGAUCAAGGACUUGCCUUAAAACAUUAUCACUUAGAUUUAGAAUUAACGUACCAUAGGCUGCCAGCUUCCAGUCUUCUUUCUUUUGAGCUGUGACAUUGUUUGGUAGAGAGGAUGGAUCAAGAAGAGCCUUAUGAGCCUUCUGCUGACCAAGAAUGGCUAUGAUUUUGGCCUUCCAAAGGCCAAAACCACCAUUUCCAUCAAAUUUCUCCACUUCGAAUCUUGCUACUUCCAUUUGACCGUGAAUCUUGAAUCUUGAUUCUCUUUAAUUAUCUUUGCUUUGAUACAAAUUUUGUUGGGCUUACACUUAUUUUUCAGGCCCAAGGUGCUAUGAAGAAGUGAUCCAAGAUGUGUGGUAGGUGGAAUAAAAAGCUCUGAAUGAGCCACGCCUCUUAGCCAGACAGUCGACACAUGGUGAAAAACCACUUACACUGAUCAAAAGGGAAAAUGAUGUAAGCUGAUGGAAAUGUCUUCAGAUUUGCAGGUAAUGAAGAAGAUUAUCAAGCAUGCAAAUGGAGAAAGUGAAAGAGGAAGAAGAGCUCUACACAGUGAUGUACGUGGUUCGGCAAAUGAAACCUACAUCCACGGAAAGGGAGAAGUUUCUUUUAUUGAAGGCAUACAAGAGCUGAGUUAUUUUUCUUUACAUAUUUUGUACAUGUAAAAAUGAAAAAACUCUCUUAGUUGUUUAAAUGUACAACAUAUUUAUAGGUUUGUAUGACUGUUACAAAUGAAUUGUAGAGACUGUUUAGAAGAAAAAACUAA
Molecule: long non-coding RNA, 5402 nt
Organism: Benincasa hispida (wax gourd)
Lineage: Eukaryota; Viridiplantae; Streptophyta; Magnoliopsida; Cucurbitales; Cucurbitaceae
Source: RefSeq, a predicted model, not a curated record